GACGAACGCUGGCGGCGUGCUUAACACAUGCAAGUCGAACGGAAAGGCCCUGCUUUUGUGGGGUGCACGAGUGGCGAACGGGGGAGUAACACGUGAGUAACCUGCCCUUGACUUUGGGAUAACUUCAGGAAACUGGGGCUAAUACCGGAUAGGAGCUCCUGCUGCAGGGUGGGGGUUGGAAAGUUUCGGCGGUUGGGGAUGGACUCGCGGCUUAUCAGCUUGUUGGUGGGGUAGUGGCUUACCAAGGCUUUGAAGGGUAGCAGGCCUGAGAGGGUGACCGGCCACAUUGGGACUGAGAUACGGCCCAGACUCCUACGGGAGGCAGCAGUGGAGAAUAUUGCACAAUGGGCGGAAGCCUGAUGCAGCAACGCCGCGUGCGGGAUGACGGCCUUCGGGUUGUAUUCCGCUUUCGCCUGUGACGAAGCGUGAGUGACGGUAAUGGGUAAAGAAGCACCGGCUAACUACGUG
RNAcentral lists this ribosomal RNA (468 nucleotides) under uncultured bacterium. RNAcentral describes it as "partial 16S ribosomal RNA". It matches the Rfam family "Bacterial small subunit ribosomal RNA", at positions 28 to 507 of the family's 1533-position model. The record is from RNAcentral.